GCAUAUCAAUAAGCGGAGGAAAAGAAACCAACAGGGAUUGCCCUAGUAACGGCGAGUGAAGCGGCAACAGCUCAAAUUUGAAAUCUGGCUUCGGCCCGAGUUGUAAUUUGCAGAGGAAGCUUUAGGCGCGGCACCUUCUGAGUCCCCUGGAACGGGGCGCCAUAGAGGGUGAGAGCCCCGUAUAGUUGGAUGCCUAGCCUGUGUAAAGCUCCUUCGACGAGUCGAGUAGUUUGGGAAUGCUGCUCAAAAUGGGAGGUAAAUUUCUUCUAAAGCUAAAUACCGGCCAGAGACCGAUAGCGCACAAGUAGAGUGAUCGAAAGAUGAAAAGCACUUUGAAAAGAGGGUUAAAUAGCACGUGAAAUUGUUGAAAGGGAAGCGCUUGUGACCAGACUUGCGCCGGGCGGAUCAUCCGGUGUUCUCACCGGUGCACUCCGCCCGGCUCAGGCCAGCAUCGGUUCUCGCGGGGGGAUAAAGGCCCUGGGAACGUAGCUCCUCCGGGAGUGUUAUAGCCCAGGGCGUAAUGCCCUCGCGGGGACCGAGGACCGCGCAUCUGCAAGGAUG
Molecule: ribosomal RNA, 561 nt
Filed under: Arxotrichum gangligerum
Lineage: Eukaryota; Fungi; Ascomycota; Sordariomycetes; Sordariales; Chaetomiaceae
Description: partial 28S ribosomal RNA
Rfam family: Eukaryotic large subunit ribosomal RNA
Source: RNAcentral